UAAAGCUAAAAAGAGCGCAGGGCGAAUGCCUUGGCAUUGGGAGCCGAUGAAGGACGUGAUUAACUGCGAUAAGCUCCGGGGAGUGGUAAGUACACAUUGAUCCGGAGAUUUCCGAAUGGAGCAAUCCAGCUGAGCAAACCUCAGCUAUCAUAUACUGAAUAAAAUAGGUAUAUGAGGGAAACCGCCUGAACUGAAACAUCUAAGUAGGGCGAGGAAGAGAAAUCAACCGAGAUUUCCUAAGUAGUGGCGAGCGAACGGGAAAGAGGCCAAACCGCGAGUAGAAAUACUUACGGGGUUGCGGACUGCAUUUAGCAUUGACAGAUCUUAACCGAACAUCAUGGGACGGAUGACCAGAGAGCGUGAUAGUCGUGUAGGUGAAAAGAGAAGUCAGCGAGCAGGAUCCAGAGUACCGCCGGACACGUGAAACCCGGUGGGAAGCUGGGGGGACCACCCUCCAAGCCUAAAUACUACCCAAUGACCGAUAGUGAAUAAGUACUGUGAAGGAAAGGUGAAAAGAACCCCGGGAGGGGAGUGAAAGAGAACCUGAAACCCUGUGCUUACAAGCACCUAGAGCACAUCAAAGUGUGAUAGGGUACCUUUUGUAGAAUGGUCCGGCGAGUUAUGAUAUGCAGCAAGGUUAAGCACUUAAGGUGUGGAGCCGAAGCGAGAGCAAGUCUUAAUAGGGCGUCAAGUUGUAUGUCAUAGACCCGAAACCGGGUGACCUAGCCAUGUCCAGGCUGAAGUGGAGGUAAAGCUCCAUGGAGGGCCGAACCGACCCCCGUUGAAAAGGUGGCGGAUGAGGUGUGGCUAGCGGAGAAAUUCCAAUCGAACCCGGAUAUAGCUGGUUCUCCCCGAAAUAGCUUUAGGGCUAGCGUUGUGAUAGAUUACCGGAGGUAAAGCACUGAAUUGGCUAGGGGCCGAGAGGUUACUGAACCAUAUCAAACUAAGAAUGCCGGCUAAUUGUUUCACAGCAGUCAGACUACGUGAGAUAAGUCUCGUGGUCAAAAGGGAAACAGCCCAGACCCACAGCUAAGGUCCCGAAAUAGAUUUAAGUGGAGAAGGAUGUGGAGCUGCAUAGACAACCAGGAUGUUGGCUUAGAAGCAGCCACUCAUUAAAAGAGUGCGUAAUAGCUCACUGGUCGAGUGGCUCUGCGCCGAAAAUUCAACGGGGCUAAAAUCUAUACCGAAGCUUGGGCUUGACAGUAAUGUCAGGGGUAGGGGAGCGUUGUGUAAGAGGAGAAGUCAUAGCGGAAGCGGUGGUGGAUUUUACACAAGUGAGAAUGCCGGAAUGAGUAGCGAGAAUUAUGUGAGAAUCAUAAUGGCCGAAAGUCUAAGGUUUCAGAAGGAAGGUUCGUCCGCUUCUGGUAAGCCGGGAGCUAAGGCGAGGCCGAAAGGCGUAGCCGAUGCACAUACGGUAGAAAUUCCGUAGCCUCUAUCAAUUUAAGCACAGGGACACUUUUGAAGGGUUUAGCCGAGCGUUGGUUGCCUCGGUCGUAAGGGACUGCGAAUGAGCGGGAAGUAAACUUGGAAGAAGGCGAGAAAAGCUGUGUGUAUAGAAGAUAGAGCCCGUACCGCAAACCGACACAGGUAGACAGGAAGAAGAUUCUAAGGCCAACGGGAGAAGGGUUGUUAAGGAACUCGGCAAGUUGACCCCGUAACUUAGGGAGAAGGGGUGCUCUUCAAAGAGCCGCAGAGAAUAGGCCCAAGCGACUGUUUAGCAAAAACACAGCUCUAUGCUAAAUCGAAAGAUGACGUAUAUGGGGUGACACCUGCCCGGUGCCGGAAGGUUAAGAGGAGGAGUGAGAGCUCUGAAUUGAAGCCCCGGUAAACGGCGGCCGUAACUAUAACGGUCCUAAGGUAGCGAAAUUCCUUGUCAGGUAAGUUCUGACCCGCACGAAUGGUGUAACGAUUUGGGCACUGUCUCAACAACCUACCCGGCGAAAUUGUAGUACCGGUGAAGAUGCCGGUUACCCGCGACUAGACGGAAAGACCCCAUGGAGCUUCACUGUAGCUUAAUAUUGAAUUUCGGUAUUUCAUGUACAGGAUAGGUGGGAGACUGGGAAGUCAGGGCGUCAGCCUUGAUGGAGUCAACCUUGGGAUACCACUCUUGAGGUGCUGGAAUUCUAACCUGUGGCUCUGA
RNAcentral lists this ribosomal RNA (2140 nucleotides) under Clostridiales bacterium Firm_05. RNAcentral's name for it is "bacterial LSU rRNA". It matches the Rfam family "Bacterial large subunit ribosomal RNA", at positions 1 to 2238 of the family's 2925-position model. The record is from RNAcentral. Lineage: Bacteria; Bacillati; Bacillota; Clostridia; Eubacteriales.